GGGUAACCUGCCCAAGAGAUCGGGAUAACACCUGGAAACAGAUGCUAAUACCGGAUAACAACAGGUGAUGCCUAUCAACUGUUUAAAAGAUGGUUCUGCUAUCACUCUUGGAUGGACCUGCGGUGCAUUAGCUAGUUGGUAGGGUAACGGCCUACCAAGGCGAUGAUGCAUAGCCGAGUUGAGAGACUGAUCGGCCACAUUGGGACUGAGACACGGCCCAAACUCCUACGGGAGGCAGCAGAG
RNAcentral lists this ribosomal RNA (243 nucleotides) under uncultured Lactobacillus sp. RNAcentral describes it as "partial 16S ribosomal RNA". It matches the Rfam family "Bacterial small subunit ribosomal RNA", at positions 119 to 354 of the family's 1533-position model. The record is from RNAcentral. Lineage: Bacteria; Bacillati; Bacillota; Bacilli; Lactobacillales; Lactobacillaceae.